RNAcentral lists this non-coding RNA (781 nucleotides) under Dendrolimus kikuchii. Lineage: Eukaryota; Metazoa; Arthropoda; Insecta; Lepidoptera; Lasiocampidae. The record is from RNAcentral.
UAUAAAUUUUUAUGGUUUAAUUAAUUUAUUUUAAGUUUAUUUUACAUAUAAAUUUUAGUAAGUAUUUUAUUUUAUUUAAAUAAUAAAAUAUAUUAAUUGAGUAGUAAUUAAUAUUAAAAAUUUAAGAAAUUAUGAUUUAGUAAUAUAAGAAUUAAAAACUAAUUUUGUGCCAGCAGUUGCGGUUAAACAAAAUUUAAAAUAAAUUUUUUUAGUGGUUAAUUUAUAUGUAAAAUAAACUUAAUUUAAAAUUUAAAUUAUUAGGUGAAAUUUUAAUUUAAUAGAAUAUUAAUUUUUUAUUUAUGAUAUUAAUAAAUUUUUGAAAAAACUAGGAUUAGAUACCCUAUUAUGAAAAAUUUAAAUUUAAAAUACUAAAAUAGUAGUUAAUUUUUAUUGAAACUUAAAUAAAUUGGCGGUAUUUUAGUUCAUUUAGAGGAAUCUGUUUAAUAAUUGAUAUUCCACGAAUAAAUUUACUUAAUUUAAUAAUUUGUAUAUCGUUGUUAAAAAAAUAUUUUAAAAUGAUUAAUAAUAUUUAAAAAUUUAAAUUUAAAAUUAAAUCAGAUCAAGAUGCAGUUUAUAAUUAAGAAUAUAAUGGGUUACAAUAAAUUUAUUUAAAUGAAUAUAUAUUUGUAAUAAUUUAUUGAAGGUGGAUUUAAAUGUAAUUUUAUUUAAUUUUUUAAAAUGAUUAAAAAUUAAAAUAUGUACAUAUUGCCCGUCACUUUCAUAUAUAAGUUGAAAUAAGUCGUAACAAAGUAGAGGUACUGGAAAGUGUUUCUAGAAUGAU